AAAGGGCAUUAUCAGAAAAAAUAAAAGAUCUAACAGGGGUACAUUUUGAACUUCUCCCGGAGCACGGGAGCCAUUGUAUUAGCCAAGCAGUCAAAAUUACAAAAGAAAUGCGCUGGAUUACAGAAAACCCAUAGAAAUGCCCCAUAUUUACAUCACUAAACCCUAACCACCACCACCAUAGAACAACCACCACGACACAAUGACGACACCAACAACUAACGAUCUCAGAUCUUCUACUACAAUGUCUCACCGGAACACCUCUCCGCAACCGCUCCCGUUAGUCGUUACUCUUAACUGCAUCGACGAUUGCGCCGUCGAGCAGGACUUCUUAUCCGGCGUCGCCGUCGUCGAACACGUUCCUCUCAGCCGUUUAGCCGAUGGAAAAAUUGAAUCAGCUGCUGCUGUUCUUCUUCACUCUCUUGUUUACCUGCCUCGAGCCGCGCAGCGCCGGCUCCGUCCUUAUCAGCUCAUUUUAUGCCUCGGCUCAGCUGACCGUGCUGUCGACUCUGCUCUCGCUGCCGACUUAGGUCUCCGGCUUGUACACGUGGAUACCUCGCGUGCUGAGGAGAUCGCGGACACUGUGAUGGCUCUGUUUCUUGGAUUGUUACGGAGAACGCACUUGUUAUCUAGACAUACGCUAUCGGCUUCGGGUUGGCUUGGCUCAGUGCAGCCGCUGUGUAGAGGAAUGAGGAGGUGUAGAGGCUUGGUUUUGGGGAUUGUUGGUAGAUCUGCAUCGGCUCGGUCAUUGGCUACUAGAAGCUUGGCUUUCAAGAUGAGUGUGCUUUAUUUUGAUGUACACGAGAGAAAAGGGAAAGUAAGCGGAACUCCCCUAAGAUUUCCACCUGCAGCCCGGAGGAUGGAUACUCUUAAUGAUUUAUUAGCUGCCAGUGACCUAAUUUCACUUCACUGUGCUUUAACAAACGAAACAGUUCAGAUUUUAAAUGCAGAGUGUUUGCAGCAUAUAAAACCAGGGGCCUUUCUUGUGAAUACGGGUAGUAGUCAGCUAUUGGAUGAUUGUGCCUUGAAGCAGCUUCUGAUAGAUGAGACUUUAGCUGGCUGUGCUUUGGAUGGUGCUGAAGGACCACAAUGGAUGGAAGCAUGGGUAAAAGAAAUGCCCAACGUAUUGAUACUUCCACGCAGUGCAGAUUACAGUGAAGAAGUGUGGAUGGAAGUAAGGGAUAAGGCCAUCUCUUUAUUGCAAUCCUUCUUCUUUGAUGGGGUUAUACCAAAGGAUGCCAUCUCUGAUGAGGAAGGAAGUGAAAUAGGUGAUGAAAAUGAACAGUUUCACUUACAAGGCAAGGAAAGUUCUCUGCCGACUUCUGUUGGUGAGCAUUUGACAGAUGAUAUUCAUGCAACUCCAGAAAGCUCCAGCAAAAAAGGUAUUAAUCAGCCAACAGAAUCUUCUAGCCAGGCUCAGGGUUCUGGCUUGUCUCAAACUACUUCUGCAAGGUCUGAAGGAAGACGGAGCAGUAGAUCAGGUAAGAAGGCAAAGAAAAGACAUGGCCGUCAAAAGUCUAUGCAGAAACCCGACGAUCCUUCUCAACUAGAAAAACAAAGCACGUCACAUCGAGAAGAUGAGGCUACAAUGAGUGGUACAGAUCAAGUGUUGAGUUCCAGUUCCCGAUUUGCAUCUCCUGAAGAUUCAAGAAGUAGGAAAACACCGACUGAGUCAAUGCAAGAGUCGACUUCUGACCAAUUUAUGAGCUCAAGCAAGAAGCUAAGUGGAAAGUCUGUUGAGCUGCUGAAAGAUGGUUAUGUUAUUGCUUUACAUACAAGAGAUCGCCUUGCACUUCAUGUCUCAAGACAGAGAGUAAAAGGUGGUGGAUGGCUCCUGGAUGCCAUGUCAGAUGUAACAAAAAGAGAUCCUGCAGCUCAAUUCCUUGUCGUUUUUAGAAGCAAGGACACUAUUGGAUUGCGUUCUUUUGCUGCUGGUGGAAAGUUAUUGCAGAUUAAUAGAAGAAUGGAAUUUGUUUUUGCUAGUCACAGCUUUGAUGUGUGGGAGAGUUGGAUGUUGGAAGGUUCAUUGGAGGAAUGCAGGCUAGUUAACUGUCGAAAUCCUUUGGCUAUUUUGGAUGUACGCAUUGAAAUUCUGGCUGCUGUAGGGGAAAAUGACGGAGUCACGCGGUGGCUAGAUUAGAUUGUGAAAGCAAGAGUGAAGAUAGCUAACUAUUUCCUGCCAUUUUUGUUAUUCCUCUAAGGUAAAGUUAUCUCGAAACCGUUUAUUCUCGUGUAUUUCUCCUGCAUGUUGAAGGUUUGUGGCUGAUGUACAUUGCUAAUUCGGGUUACAGUAUAGGAACGCGUGAUCCCUCAACCUUUACAUAAUGGGAAAUUUUGGGUUUGAAAUUGAAGAAUAAAAUCGCAUGAGGCAGCACGACACCACACUAGGCACCGUUGAGGCUAUUUGACAAAUUCUGCUUUGCUCGUCCUUGUAGUCAGUUUUAAGUAUACUUUAUUUUGAUAUUGUCAAAUAUGUGAACUUUGAAUUGUGCCUAUGCGCACCUAGAAUUGGCAUGUUUGGGUAGAUCCGUGGAAAGCUAGUAGACAAUGCCGAAAGAUCCAUAAAAGCCAUUGCACAUGCUCAUGUGGUAAAUCAUUUUGCAGACCAACAAAUGCCAAACUCAUUUUCUAUGGCACGUUCAUCAAUCUAAAACCUAAUGCAGCAGAAAGCUUUAUAAAUGCAGUCAUGUGAAAAUUGUGUUUCCUAUUACAGCAAAUAAAUAAAGGUUCCAAUCUGAAACUCCAAUAUA
Mercurialis annua (annual mercury) is the source of this 2747-nucleotide RNA transcript. It is a transcript of the gene named C-terminal binding protein AN, with no coding region annotated. The record is from RefSeq and is a predicted model, not a curated record. The transcript has 8 exons. NCBI's taxonomy places the organism in Eukaryota, Viridiplantae, Streptophyta, Magnoliopsida, Malpighiales, Euphorbiaceae.